UGGGGAAUAUUGCGCAAUGGCCGCAAGGCUGACGCAGCGACGCCGCGUGUGGGAGGAAGCCCUUCGGGGUGUAAACCACUGUCAGGGGGGAAGAAACCCGUCAUCUCGAACAGGGAUGGCGGCUGACGGUACCCCCAAAGGAAGCGCCGGCUAACUCCGUGCCAGCAGCCGCGGUAAGACGGAGGGCGCAAGCGAUGAUCGGAAUUACUGGGCGUAAAGGGCGAGCAGGCGGUCCGUUAAGUCUACUGUGAAAAUCCGGGGCUCAACCCCGGAAAUGCAGUGGAAACUGACAGACUAGAGACCGGUAGAGGCUAGCGGAAGUCCUGGUGUAGCGGUGGAAUGCGUAGAUAUCAGGAAGAACACCGGUGGCGAAGGCGGCUAGCUGGGCCGGAUCUGACGCUCAUCCGCGAAAGCGUGGGGAGCAAACAGGAUUAGAUACCCCCGUAGUCC
Molecule: ribosomal RNA, 450 nt
Filed under: uncultured prokaryote
Description: bacterial SSU rRNA
Rfam family: Bacterial small subunit ribosomal RNA
Source: RNAcentral